CACGUAGGGCGCGAGCGUUGUCCGGAAUUAUUGGGCGUAAAGAGCUCGUAGGCGGCCUGUUGCGUCCGCUGUGAAAGCCCGGGGCUUAACCCCGGGUCGGCAGUGGAUACGGGCAGUCUAGAGGUAGGUAGGGGAGAAUGGAAUUCCUGGUGUAGCGGUGAAAUGCGCAGAUAUCAGGAGGAACACCGGUGGCGAAGGCGGGACUCUGGGCCGAUACUGACGCUGAGGAGCGAAAGCGUGGGGAGCGAACAGG
RNAcentral lists this ribosomal RNA (253 nucleotides) under uncultured bacterium. RNAcentral's name for it is "partial 16S ribosomal RNA". It matches the Rfam family "Bacterial small subunit ribosomal RNA", at positions 524 to 776 of the family's 1533-position model. The record is from RNAcentral.